Molecule: transfer RNA, 72 nt
Filed under: Candidatus Pacebacteria bacterium RIFOXYB1_FULL_44_10
Lineage: Bacteria; Bacillati; Minisyncoccota
Also listed under: 1 other name
Description: tRNA-Arg
Rfam family: tRNA
About the family: Transfer RNA (tRNA) molecules are approximately 80 nucleotides in length.
Source: RNAcentral
GCCCUCAUAGUUCAAUGGAUAGAACAUCGGUUUGCGGAACCGACAAUUGUGGUUCGAUUCCACAUGGGGGCA